ACCAGGAUUGAGAACUUAGUGUCUCAAGGAGCUGAUCUCAAUGUCCAGUCAGCUGACGGUCAGAUGUGUCUCCAUGAAGCCAUUAAACUCUGUUACAAAACUGGGAGAAAUGUAGAAGAAAGUUACACGCUACGAAAGAUUUCAGACGAGUUUUACAAUGGAAACCUAUCACCCGAGAAAGCUUUGGUGUUUUAUUUACUUGACAAUGGAGCUAAGACAGACGUGGAAGAUAAGUCAGGAAAAUUACCAAUCCACUAUGCCAAAGAUGAAGUGGUUAGACAGAUGAUCUUAUCGAGAAUGAAAUCUCCUGAAGAGGCCUGUUAUUAUCAAG
Lytechinus pictus (painted urchin) is the source of this 331-nucleotide long non-coding RNA. RefSeq lists it as uncharacterized. NCBI's taxonomy places the organism in Eukaryota, Metazoa, Echinodermata, Echinoidea, Temnopleuroida, Toxopneustidae. The transcript has 3 exons. The record is from RefSeq and is a predicted model, not a curated record.